RNAcentral lists this ribosomal RNA (301 nucleotides) under uncultured bacterium. RNAcentral describes it as "partial 16S ribosomal RNA". It matches the Rfam family "Bacterial small subunit ribosomal RNA", at positions 509 to 808 of the family's 1533-position model. The record is from RNAcentral.
CAGUCGCCGCGGUAACACGUAGGUCCCGAGCGUUGUCCGGAUUUAUUGGGCGUAAAGCGAGCGCAGGCGGUUAGAUAAGUCUGAAGUUGAAGGCUGUGGUUUAACCAUAGUACGCUUUGGAAACUGUUUAACUUGAGUGCAGAAGGGGAGAGUGGAAUUCCAUGUGUAGCGGUGAAAUGCGUAGAGAUGUGGAGGAACACCAGUGGCGAAGGCGACUCUCUGGUCUGUAACUGACGCUGAGGAGCGAAAGCGUGGGGAGCGAACAGGAUUAGAUACCCCCGUAGUCCCUGUCUCUUAUACA